Molecule: ribosomal RNA, 694 nt
Filed under: uncultured bacterium
Lineage: Bacteria
Description: bacterial SSU rRNA
Rfam family: Bacterial small subunit ribosomal RNA
Source: RNAcentral
CCCAAGUCGAGCGGUAACAGAGAGUAGUUUACUAUUCUGCUGACGAGCGGCGGACGGGUGAGUAAUGCCUAGGAAUCUGCCUAGUAGUGGGGGAUAACUUGCCGAAAGGUAAGCUAAUACCGCAUACGUCCUACGGGAGAAAGGAGGGGACCUUCGGGCCUUUCGCUAUUAGAUGAGCCUAGGUCGGAUUAGUUAGUUGGUGAGGUAAUGGCUCACCAAGACCGCGAUCCGUAACUGGUCUGAGAGGAUGAUCAGUCACACUGGAACUGAGACACGGUCCAGACUCCUACGGGAGGCAGCAGUGGGGAAUAUUGGACAAUUGGGGGAACCCUAAUCCAGCCAUGCCGCGUGUGUGAAGAAGGUCUUAGGAUUGUAAAGCACUUUAAGUUGGGAGGAAGAGCAGUUAACUAAUAAUUGACUGUUUUGACGUUACCGACAGAAUAAGCACCGGCUAACUUCGUGCCAGCAGCCGCGGUAAUACGAAGGGUGCAAGCGUUAAUCGGAAUUACUGGGCGUAAAGCGCGCGUAGGUGGUUCGUUAAGUUAGGAGUGAAAGCCCCGGGCUCAACCUUGGAAUUGCUUCUAAAACUGGCGAGCUAGAGUAUGGUAGAGGGUGGUGGAAUUUCCUGUGUAGCGGUGAAAUGCGUAGAUAUAGGAAGGAACAUCAGUGGCGAAGGCGACCACCUGGACUGAUA